AAAGAAUUAGUUAAAAAAUAACAUAAAUAUGUCAAAUUUAUAUUAUUAUAUUAAUAAUAUUCUUUUA
Molecule: transfer RNA, 67 nt
Filed under: Ostrinia nubilalis (European corn borer)
Lineage: Eukaryota; Metazoa; Arthropoda; Insecta; Lepidoptera; Crambidae
Description: tRNA-Asp
Source: RNAcentral